AGCACCAUAGGGAUUUUCCCCAUGGACGAAAUUUGACCGGACAACGCCGCGUGAGUGAUGAAGGUUUUCGGAUCGUAAAGCUUUGUUGUUAGGGAAGAACAAGUGCGAGAGUAACUGCUCGCACCUUGACGGUACCUAACCAGAAAGCCACGGCUAACUACGUGCCAGCAGCCGCGGUAAUACGUAGGUGGCAAGCGUUGUCCGGAAUUAUUGGGCGUAAAGGGCUCGCAGGCGGUUUCUUAAGUCUGAUGUGAAAGCCCCCGGCUCAACCGGGGAGGGUCAUUGGAAACUGGGAAACUUGAGUGCAGAAGAGGAGAGUGGAAUUCCACGUGUAGCGGUGAAAUGCGUAGAGAUGUGGAGGAACACCAGUGGCGAAGGCGACUCUCUGGUCUGUAACUGACGCUGAGGAGCGAAAGCGUGGGGAGCGAACAGGAUUAGAUACCCUGGUAGUCCACGCCGUAAACGAUGAGUGCUAAGUGUUAGGGGGUUUCCGCCCCUUAGUGCUGCAGCUAACGCAUUAAGCACUCCGCCUGGGGAGUACGGUCGCAAGACUGAAACUCAAAGGAAUUGACGGGGGCCCGCACAAGCGGUGGAGCAUGUGGUUUAAUUCGAAGCAACGCGAAGAACCUUACCAGGUCUUGACAUCCUCUGACAACCCUAGAGAUAGGGCUUUCCCUUCGGGGACAGAGUGACAGGUGGUGCAUGGUUGUCGUCAGCUCGUGUCGUGAGAUGUUGGGUUAAGUCCCGCAACGAGCGCAACCCUUGAUCUUAGUUGCCAGCAUUCAGUUGGGCACUCUAAGGUGACUGCCGGUGACAAACCGGAGGAAGGUGGGGAUGACGUCAAAUCAUCAUGCCCCUUAUGACCUGGGCUACACACGUGCUACAAUGGACAGAACAAAGGGCUGCAAGACCGCAAGGUUUAGCCAAUCCCAUAAAUCUGUUCUCAGUUCGGAUCGCAGUCUGCAACUCGACUGCGUGAAGCUGGAAUCGCUAGUAAUCGCGGAUCAGCAUGCCGCGGUGAAUACGUUCCCGGGCCUUGUACACACCGCCCGUCACACCACGAGAGUUUGCAACACCCGAAGUCGGUGAGGUAACCUUUAUGGAGCCAGCCGCCGAAGGUGUACCAGUAGAGU
RNAcentral lists this ribosomal RNA (1133 nucleotides) under Bacillus safensis. RNAcentral's name for it is "bacterial SSU rRNA". It matches the Rfam family "Bacterial small subunit ribosomal RNA", at positions 350 to 1476 of the family's 1533-position model. The record is from RNAcentral. Lineage: Bacteria; Bacillati; Bacillota; Bacilli; Caryophanales; Bacillaceae.